AUCAGUCAGCAGCCAAUCAGACGGAGUGGAGAGAGUGAUCCAGCUGCAGUUUACUCAGCAGUGAAAACAACAGAAGACGUCACUUAUGGACAAAUAGUCGUCAAAUCAAACAGGAAGAGAGUGUCUCCAUUAGAGCCAGAGGUUGUCUACUCUUCACUGAGGUAGACCUCCACACCUUCACACCAGUCCAACCACUGACAUCCAGC
Molecule: long non-coding RNA, 206 nt
Organism: Scomber scombrus (Atlantic mackerel)
Lineage: Eukaryota; Metazoa; Chordata; Actinopteri; Scombriformes; Scombridae
Exons: 3
Source: RefSeq, a predicted model, not a curated record